This 525-nucleotide ribosomal RNA is filed under the name Cladosporium oxysporum. RNAcentral describes it as "eukaryotic LSU rRNA". The stretch from base 160 to 313 matches the Rfam family "5.8S ribosomal RNA". Lineage: Eukaryota; Fungi; Ascomycota; Dothideomycetes; Cladosporiales; Cladosporiaceae. The record is from RNAcentral.
UGGUCCUCGGUGACAGGUCUACCACCGGGAUGUUCAUAACCCUUUGUUGUCCGACUCUGUUGCCUCCGGGGCGACCCUGCCUUCGGGCGGGGGCUCCGGGUGGACACUUCAAACUCUUGCGUAACUUUGCAGUCUGAGUAAACUUAAUUAAUAAAUUAAAACUUUUAACAACGGAUCUCUUGGUUCUGGCAUCGAUGAAGAACGCAGCGAAAUGCGAUAAGUAAUGUGAAUUGCAGAAUUCAGUGAAUCAUCGAAUCUUUGAACGCACAUUGCGCCCCCUGGUAUUCCGGGGGGCAUGCCUGUUCGAGCGUCAUUUCACCACUCAAGCCUCGCUUGGUAUUGGGCAACGCGGUCCGCCGCGUGCCUCAAAUCGACCGGCUGGGUCUUCUGUCCCCUAAGCGUUGUGGAAACUAUUCGCUAAAGGGUGCUCGGGAGGCUACGCCGUAAAACAAACCCAUUUCUAAGGUUGACCUCGGAUCAGGUAGGGAUACCCGCUGAACUUAAGCAUAUCAAUAAGCGGAGGAA